AAAUUACUUAUUUCAUUUAUAGUUUGUGAUGAGGACUAUUAUGCUACUUUAUUUAAUAGUCAAACAGCUACCAUUGAUGGAAUCAGUUAUACCAUUGGGAUACCGCAGUUCUGUAUAACAGGGACAUAUGCAAGAAUAUGUAAUGAUGGUACUAAUUCUCCUGAAUUGGGACUAGCUUUAUGCAAUAGUGCGGGAUUUCUAUUUGGUGAGCUCCUUUCUUCAAACUCAAGUCUUGCUGAGACCUUAUACAGGGGCUCUCCCCAGGGGAUAUUGUAUUUGAAUAGAUUCCUUUGUUCUGGUCAUAAUUGUCAAGGAGAUUCAAGUUCAGGCUUUGCCAGUAAUCCACAGUGCUUCAAUGGUCAACUGGAAACUAUUGUGAGAUGCUCUAAUAUAAAGUCUUAUGCAGUUGUCAUUGGAGUCACUGUUGGUAUAUUGGUCGCAUUUGUAGUGACAGUACUUAUUGUUGUCAUAUUAGUAGUUGUGUUUAUGGUCAUCCGUAAUAAAAGGACUCAUAGACAUGAUGGUUUAUUAACAAUUAAUGAUGAUAUUUAUA
Amphimedon queenslandica is the source of this 553-nucleotide long non-coding RNA. RefSeq lists it as uncharacterized. Lineage: Eukaryota; Metazoa; Porifera; Demospongiae; Haplosclerida; Niphatidae. The record is from RefSeq and is a predicted model, not a curated record. The transcript is spliced from 3 exons.